ACUUUUAUAGUUUAAUAAAAACAUUAGGUUGUGAUUCUAAAGAUGUUUUAACUAAGAGUA
This 60-nucleotide transfer RNA is filed under the name Neomysis awatschensis. Its description in RNAcentral is "tRNA-His". It matches the Rfam family "tRNA". From Rfam's summary of the family: Transfer RNA (tRNA) molecules are approximately 80 nucleotides in length. The record is from RNAcentral. Lineage: Eukaryota; Metazoa; Arthropoda; Malacostraca; Mysida; Mysidae.